This 1382-nucleotide small RNA is filed under the name Pongo abelii (Sumatran orangutan). RNAcentral describes it as "processed transcript". The record is from RNAcentral. Lineage: Eukaryota; Metazoa; Chordata; Mammalia; Primates; Hominidae.
GAACAAAAUCAAGGUGUAUAUCUAUGCUCUGAAAAAGUACGUGGAUGACUUUGGCGUCUCUGUCAGCAACACCAUCUCCCGGGAGUAUAAUGAACUGCUCAUGGCCAUCUCAGACAGUGACUACUACACUGAUGACAUCAACCGAGCCUGCCUGUUUGUUCCCUCCAUCGAUGUGCUUAACCAGAACACACUCCGCAUCAAGGAGACAGCGCAAGCGUUGGCCCAGCUCUCUAGGUGGGAUCGAGGUUCGAAUCACCUGUUGUUCAACAUGUUGCCUGGAGGUCCCCCAGAUUACAACACAGCCCUGGAUGUCCCCAGAGACAGGGCCCUGUUGGCUGGUGGCGGCUUUUCUACAUGGACUUACCGGCAAGGCUACGAUGUCAGCAUUCCUGUCUAUAGUCCACUGUCAGCUGAGGUGGAUCUUCCAGAGAAAGGACCAGGGCAAAUGCGGAGCAAGACUGAGUGGUUCAUGAAGUUGUCGCUUAGGACAUCUUCCUGGAUUUUUCUCCCUUUGUGGACUCCCAGAGUUGACUUAUUUUAUUUUAUUUUUAAAAUUGAGAUUAAUUUAUAUACCAUAAAAUUUACUCUUUUAAUGUGUAUAAUUUAAUGGUUUUUAGUAUAUUCACAAAAUUGUGCAACUAUCAUCAGGCCUACUACCUAAUUCUAGAACAUUUUCAUGACUCCACAAAUAAACCUAAUAUCCAAUAGCAGUCAGUCCCUUACCUCUGUCCCCAGCAAGAAUCCUUAAUCUGCUUUUUCUCUCUAUAGGUUUGCCUAUUCUGGACAUUUCCUAUCAACAUAAUUAUACAAUAAAUGGUCUUUUGUACCUGUCUUCUUUCACUUAGCAUAAUGUUUCCAAGGCUUAUUCAUGUAAUAGCAUGGAAUCAGUACUUCCUUUGUUUUUUGGCUGAAUAUUUCAUCAUAUGAAUAUACCACAUUUUAUUCAUCUCUUCAUCAGUUGAUGGAAAUUUGGAUUAUUUCCACCUGUUAGCUCUUAUGAAUAAUGCUGCUAUGAACAUUUGUAUACAAGUUUGUGUGUAAAGCUGGUUUCAGUUCUCUUGACCUAGGAGCAGAACUGCUGGGUCAUACGGUAGCUCUAUGUUUAACUUUUUGAGGAGCUGCCAAACUCUUUUUCCAAAGCGGCUGCACCAUUUCACAUUCCCACCAGCCAUGUAUGAGGGUUUCGAUUUCCCCAUAUCCUCACUAACCCUUGUUACUGCCUGUGUUUUUUAUUCUAGCCAUCCUAGUGGAUGUGAAGUCGUAUCUUCAUUGUGGUUUUGGUUUGCAUUUCCCCACUGACUAAUAAUUUUGAGUAUCUUUUCAUGUGCAUAUUGGCCAUUUAGAUAACUUCUUUGGAGAAAUGUCUAUUCAGAUCAUUUGCC